GAUGAACGCUGGCGGCGUGCCUAAUACAUGCCAGUCGAGCGAACAGACGAGGAGCUUGCUCCUCUGACGUUAGCGGCGGACGGGUGAGUAACACGUGGAUAACCUACCUAUAAGACUGGGAUAACUUCGGGAAACCGGAGCUAAUACCGGAUAAUAUAUUGAACCGCAUGGUUCAAUAGUGAAAGACGGUUUUGCUGUCACUUAUAGAUGGAUCCGCGCCGCAUUAGCUAGUUGGUAAGGUAACGGCUUACCAAGGCAACGAUGCGUAGCCGACCUGAGAGGGUGAUCGGCCACACUGGAACUGAGACACGGUCCAGACUCCUACGGGAGGCAGCAGUAGGGAAUCUUCCGCAAUGGGCGAAAGCCUGACGGAGCAACGCCGCGUGAGUGAUGAAGGUCUUCGGAUCGUAAAACUCUGUUAUUAGGGAAGAACAAAUGUGUAAGUAACUAUGCACGUCUUGACGGUACCUAAUCAGAAAGCCACGGCCAACUACGUG
This 497-nucleotide ribosomal RNA is filed under the name uncultured bacterium. Its description in RNAcentral is "partial 16S ribosomal RNA". It matches the Rfam family "Bacterial small subunit ribosomal RNA", at positions 28 to 507 of the family's 1533-position model. The record is from RNAcentral.